Quercus robur (English oak) is the source of this 1084-nucleotide long non-coding RNA. RefSeq lists it as uncharacterized. NCBI's taxonomy places the organism in Eukaryota, Viridiplantae, Streptophyta, Magnoliopsida, Fagales, Fagaceae. The record is from RefSeq and is a predicted model, not a curated record. The transcript has 3 exons.
AGGUUCUGCUUGAGAACAACCGUAUUUAGCAAGAGAAUCUGUAGCUCUGUUAGCCUCUCUGAAGUAAUGCUCGAUUUUCACCUAAUGGAAAACUUGAAGAAUGGCCCUGCGGCCACAAGAGGCAGGGUUAGUCUAUUUAUAGAAUUUGAACUAGAAACAAGUGAUAUUAUAUCCCCUGCAUUCACAUUGACAAUGAGCUUUUCAAUCCUAUGAAAUUUUGCCAUAAAUAAGCCAUUUCUUAGAGCAUAAAGUUCUGCCAAAAGGAUGAAAGAAGUCUCAAUUGCACGAGAAAAGACCCGAACCCAAUUGUCAUUGGAAUCACGAAUGAACCCACCACCUCCUGCGUAGGCGGAGUUGGGAGAGACCAAAAUAUCCGUAUUCAACUUACUCCAACCUGAGAGAGGUGUUUCCCAGCAAAUGUAGAAGGUAUAACAGAACCGAAUGGGAGAUUUGCCCGACUCUCUCACUUUUAUGUCUUUCAUAUGUUCUUGCCUCCUGCUGUGCCACAUCAGACUUCCCUCUUUCUCAAGGGCUUAUCGGUGGAUUCUGUUUCUUAAAGUGCCGUUGGUCAAGGAUGAUUGGAGCAGUUGCGUCUGGGCUUGUGGUAGUCCUCCUCAAACUGUUUGAACAAAUGCCUGAACCAAAGUUCCCAUCACCAAAACUCUAUCAUCAGGUCUUGGAUGCUGCUGAGCAUUUGGAGCAGGGAGCUACAGAUAAAUAGGUUGAACGUGACCCAGAUGCUCCAGAUCUAUGUUGCCAAGAAGGCGCACUAUUCCAUCUAUAUUCCACCAUGGCACCCUAAGACUAAGCUGCCCAUUUGCCUCUUUGUUCGAGUACUUAUUUUCCUUCUCGCAUAUAUGUCAAUCAUUAUCUAAUCAGGUAGAAGAGAGCAUGAUAUCAGGCAUUACUUGCAUGUGGUGGAAGUCCAACUUAAAGCCCAAUUGAUAAAUAUUACAUAGUUUAGCUUUUAUUUAGAACUUGGUACGUCUACUUUCAUGAGGAAUACCAUUUUGAAUAGUUUAUUAUUAUUAUUUUUGGUUAAGUUUGUUCUGAUAGAAAUUGUGUCACUAUCUUUUGUGUAACU